Molecule: ribosomal RNA, 484 nt
Filed under: uncultured bacterium
Lineage: Bacteria
Description: partial 16S ribosomal RNA
Rfam family: Bacterial small subunit ribosomal RNA
Source: RNAcentral
AUUGAACGCUGGCGGCAGGCCUAACACAUGCAGGUCGAGCGGAUGAAGGGAGCUUGCUCCUGGAUUCAGCGGCGGACGGGUGAGUAAUGCCUAGGAAUCUGCCUGGUAGUGGGGGAUAACGUCCGGAAACGGGCGCUAAUACCGCAUACGUCCUGAGGGAGAAAGUGGGGGAUCUUCGGACCUCACGCUAUCAGAUGAGCCUAGGUCGGAUUAGCUAGUUGGUGGGGUAAAGGCCUACCAAGGCGACGAUCCGUAACUGGUCUGAGAGGAUGAUCAGUCACACUGGAACUGAGACACGGUCCAAACUCCUACGGGAGGCAGCAGUGGGGAAUAUUGGACAAUGGGCGAAAGCCUGAUCCAGCCAUGCCGCGUGUGUGAAGAAGGUCUUCGGAUUGUAAAGCACUUUAAGUUGGGAGGAAGGGCAGUAAGUUAAUACCUUGCUGUUUUGACGUUACCAACAGAAUAAGCACCGGCUAACUUCGUG